Molecule: transfer RNA, 67 nt
Filed under: Myllocerinus aurolineatus
Lineage: Eukaryota; Metazoa; Arthropoda; Insecta; Coleoptera; Curculionidae
Description: tRNA-Pro
Source: RNAcentral
UCAGGAAGUAGUUUAUAAAAAUAUUAAUUUUGGAGAUUAAAGAUAAAGAGUUUUUUUUAUUCCUGAA